Molecule: ribosomal RNA, 253 nt
Filed under: uncultured bacterium
Lineage: Bacteria
Description: partial 16S ribosomal RNA
Rfam family: Bacterial small subunit ribosomal RNA
Source: RNAcentral
UACGAAGGGGGCGAGCGUUGUUCGGAUUUACUGGGCGUAAAGGGCGCGUAGGCGGCGCACCAAGUCAGGCGUGAAAGCCCUGGGCUCAACCCGGGAAUUGCGCUUGAGACUGGUGUGCUUGAGUACGGGAGAGGAUAGUGGAAUUCCCAGUGUAGAGGUGAAAUUCGUAGAUAUUGGGAAGAACACCGGUGGCGAAGGCGGCUAUCUGGACCGUAACUGACGCUGAGGCGCGAAAGCGUGGGGAGCAAACAGG